AGUGAACGCUGGCGGUAGGCCUAACACAUGCAAGUCGAACGGCAGCACAGUAAGAGCUUGCUCUUACGGGUGGCGAGUGGCGGACGGGUGAGGAAUACAUCGGAAUCUACCUUCUCGUGGGGGAUAACGUAGGGAAACUUACGCUAAUACCGCAUACGACCUACGGGUGAAAGCAGGGGAUCUUCGGACCUUGCGCGAUUGAAUGAGCCGAUGUCGGAUUAGCUAGUUGGCGGGGUAAAGGCCCACCAAGGCGACGAUCCGUAGCUGGUCUGAGAGGAUGAUCAGCCACACUGGAACUGAGACACGGUCCAGACUCCUACGGGAGGCAGCAGUGGGGAAUAUUGGACAAUGGGCGCAAGCCUGAUCCAGCCAUACCGCGUGGGUGAAGAAGGCCUUCGGGUUGUAAAGCCCUUUUGUUGGGAAAGAAAAGCAGCAGGUUAAUACCCCGCUGUUCUGACGGUACCCAAAGAAUAAGCACCGGCUAACUUCGUG
This 492-nucleotide ribosomal RNA is filed under the name uncultured bacterium. RNAcentral describes it as "partial 16S ribosomal RNA". It matches the Rfam family "Bacterial small subunit ribosomal RNA", at positions 29 to 507 of the family's 1533-position model. The record is from RNAcentral.